Molecule: non-coding RNA, 4009 nt
Organism: Nothobranchius furzeri (turquoise killifish)
Lineage: Eukaryota; Metazoa; Chordata; Actinopteri; Cyprinodontiformes; Nothobranchiidae
Source: RefSeq, a predicted model, not a curated record
CUGAGAGGAAUCUUAAGCAGGAUUCCGGCUAGAAUGUGUUUUCCUUCUUCCCGCUCAUGCUGCUGGGAUCCGGGCUAUUCCCUGUGUCAGCGUCUGUGCUGAGUGUUUUUUUAACCAGUUGGGAAAGGAGGGAAGAACGUUCUCAGAUUUCACUCCAACACUGCUCCCUCUGGAACGUGGCGGCUUUUACUUUGAAGGAGUUUUUCUUUUAUUUUCUGGAUGCUCGUGCCGCAGGAGAGACGGAGUCAUGGCGACCUGAGGAUUAAAUCAGUUUAUCCGAGAGGAUGAGGAUCGAUCGGGAUUGUUCACCCCCCCAAGUCCACCUAGGAGCUAGACAUUAGUGACCCAAGGGCUUUUAGCUUUUAUGUUUAUAGAAGAAUGGCUGAACCAGCUGUUUGUGUGUGUGAGAUCUGGGCUCAGGUGGGAUAAAUGAGCACCCGAUGCACUGGAGAGGAAUGAUCCCGACCUGGGAAAACCAACAUGAACUGGCAACUGUGGUUGAAACUCUGCUCUGGUCAAAAAGGGAUUCUCCUCCUUUCUGCCCUCAUCCUCCUCCUUCUCAUGGUUUUUAUAAUGACGGUCACGUUGCCCCUUCCUUUGCCUCCUCUGAAUGAGGAACAGAGAUUGUCCCAAGCUCUGAGCUCUGCAGAGCUCAGAUCUAAACCUGGAAUCGUGCAGCCCCUUCCGGCUGCAGCCUUGCAGCCUCCUGCUCACUAUCAUGGCAGAAGAACGCUGCCUGAAGAUGGAGUAUCUAAACAUUCAGUGCAGCAUGGACCUUUGAGGAAUGCUGCUGGCUAUGAGAAAAAUAGUCUGAAAGCCAGAAGUGACCAAAGCAAAGGCUUUGCCUCCAAGAGAAGGACGGCUGGCUCCAUCCGGCCAUCGAGCCAUCAUCAUUAUCCUCAGCUGCCAGACUUUACAGUCAACAGCACAGAGCUGAAGCAUAGCAUUAAACCAAGCAGCCACAGUGAUGUGGUGAAGCAACCCACGGCACACACACACAUUUAUCCUGAAAGGAUAAGAGCACACAACCCAGACAGAGGAGCUGCGCAUGCCCAGAAAGGCAGACACACAAACAGGAAUGCCGACACACAACUGAGCAGCAGCCUCGCGAGGGUAAAGCUACAACAGCAGCAGCUCUUGCAGAAACCCACACAAGCUCCAAAAGCCUCUGGGAAGCUUGAUGGUGUGGAUAAGGAGCAGCUUCCAGGGAAAAGGCUCACCCGCGAGCACAAACAGCUACUUAAUGUCUCAGGAAAUCUUCCUAAAGCAAAGUGGAAUCCUGGACCAUCAGAGCAUGGAGAGGCUUUGUCCCAACCUGUGAAGCCCAAUCACAAGCAUGUGUGCGAGAGCUUCAGAGGGCAGGACUUCCCAGACAGCGAUGACAGGAAGAUCAGAGUCCGCCCACACCAGCCUCCUUCAUGGUUCAGCAACGACGAUAUUGAAAAGAUGGAGCUGCUGUCUGGGGGUGACGUCAUCAGUAAGGCCCGGGUGCCUGCACAUGGACAGGUGCUCCAGGUGGCCUUGAAUCCUCCUGCGCAGCGCCAGGUGAGACAAGCAGGAGGUGUCUCCACCCACAGGGGGCACUGCCAGCAGGGCUGCUGCUCCCUGAUCAAGCGUACUGAGGACUGGUUUGAGGUGUUUGCCUUCCACCUGGACCGGGUGCUGGGAAUCAACAGGAGUCUGCCUGCUGUUCUACGGAUGUUCCACAGCGAUGUUCUACCCUACCGCUUCACCAGGGGCUCCCCGAGGCCUGUAGUGUGGUGGGAUCCUGACAUUCAGCAUCUCGCCGACAACGACAACGACCAGAACUCUGUACCACUCGGCUGGGUCCAGUACCAGAAGCUGCUACAGGCAAGGUGUGAGAACGGGACAGAGCUGAGGUCAGACCCAUGUGUGGGGGUCCGGCACUCAGAGUGGGGGAGGCUGGCUCUGUUUGACUUCCUAUUACAGGUGAGCGACCGUCUGGACAGGUACUGCUGUGGGUUUACACCUGAUCCAACAGACCUCUGUGUGGAGAACCUGCUGCACAGCAAGUGUGGCAAAAGCAAGGACCUGCUGCUGGUUCACAUCCUGGUGAGGAAGGCGGAUCCCAGCAGACUGGUGUUCAUAGACAACGCUGGUAGACCACAGCAGCCCAGUGACAACCUGAACUUCAGGCUGCUUGAGGGCAUUGAGGAGUUUCCAGAGAGAGCUGUGUCAGUGCUGCGCUCAGGCUGUCUGGAGACUCUUCUUCUGCGCUCCCUCUACACAGACAAGGAAUUCUGGGACAGCCGUGGGGGGGCCAUCGGUCUCAGGCCUCUGGUCCACAUCGUGGAGCAGAGGGGGCAGAUCCUCCUCCAGCACAUCAGGACCAAAAGGCUCCGCCUCCUGAGGGAACUGUGAUGCGGUCCAGACGGGCUCCUCCUCCUCCUCCUCCGAUGGGUUUUACUGCCAGAAAGGGUCAGAGGAGGUUUCUGAUGUUUUAAUGUUGAGGUUCAGCUCCAGCUCACAGGACUGAGAAGUGGCUGCACCUUUCUAGAUGAAAACCACCAGGUGCUUCACAAGCAAAAUGAAAAACACACAAAAACACAACUGUGUUGAACAUUCUGUUCAGCCACGGGCUUUUUGUCAGACUCUGAACCCGGAGAAGGCUGCAGCUGCAGAGCAGCAGGUGGAGCCAUCAGUAACGCCAACCUGGAGGUGAAACACCGAAACUGGAUUUAUGUCGGUUACCAACGUCGUCCAGCCCAUCUCAAUGUAUCAGGGUUGGAGAAGGAUUGUUUAGCUUGUUCAUGCUCCUUUAACCCUCUCCGGCGCUAAAAAAGUCCUUCAGGGGAACUUCUGAGGUAACAAAUGCUCAGAAACACGUGUGUGGAGUAACCAGGUAGGUAGGUUUUAACCUGCCUGCCUCCAGAGGGUUAAGGUGCUGUUCUACAUGCUGGAUGACACACACGCACCGCACACACACACAGCUGAUGACCUACUGCUAGCCCGCGGUGGGCUCCAGCAGCUGCAGCUGCAGGUGAGACGCUGGAACAGACCUGACUACAAAUACAAACCAACUGUGAUUUACAGAAAUGCUCAUAAUGUGGGUCCUAACCAUGGAUCCAUCAGUAACCACGGUUUCAGCUUUAAGCGCCGACCUCUGACCCUGGACACCACGGUGACUCGCUGCUGGACCCUAACCCUGGGUACUAAAAGAUUCUCAGCUGAAGGAAUUAUUAAAACCAGUUGGUUCUGAUGCUCAUGCAGACCCGGGCCGUUCCACAGGAACCAGAACUGAAGGAAACUCUUCCCCAGGUUUUAGUGGGCCGACACCAGUUUAUGGAUUAUGUUGUGCUGAUGUCCUUCGGGCUCAAGCUGGGAUUACAGGUUCAACAGCUGUGGUUCUGGUGUAUCAGAUUUAGUCUCAGGACUCAGAGUCCUCAUCCUAGAAUCCAGCAGGUGGUGUCAACAGCGGGAAGGAAGCGGUCGUCCUGACCGGUAAACGCAGAGCAGCAAGCUGAGAGCAAUGUUUGGGUAAAGUAGCGAGUUCAUACCUGCUGCUGUUCGGUGACAACCACCCACAACUCCCAUAAAUUAAACGGAUCUGACUAGACUGGCCUCUGCCUCGCACCAGUCCUCACGCUUUGGCAUGGUGCCAUCUGCUGGAGGGUCACCAGCAGCCACCCAGGGCUCAGAGAAGAAGCUCACCCUCCCUUCACGUCCUAAAUAAAUGACUAAUAAGUAUAAUAACAUGUCUCUCAGCUGAGGUGCCGACUGUGGGGUGAUGCGUGCACCCUCGGGACGGACAGGUCAGAGGUCAGGGCAAGUGGAGGGGCAGACAGGUCAGAUGAACUAUUGUAUUUUACCUCACGGCCCUUCACAUGAGCCUGCUUAUCGGUGCACCAGGUUCUUCUCCUCCUACUGAGCGUAGGUCUGACAGUAUCGUGUAAAUCUGUCUAGAUCAGGCGCGUCCAAAACUGUAAAGUUUAGUUUCACGGACCACAAGAACGUGAUUUUAUUAGAAUUUUUUAUUUUAAUCCUGUAC